UACGGAGGGUGCAAGCGUUACUCGGAAUUACUGGGCGUAAAGCGUGCGUAGGUGGUGAGUUAAGUCUGUCGUGAAAGCCCCGGGCUCAACCUGGGAAUGGCGAUGGAUACUGGCUCGCUAGAGUGCGGUAGAGGAGAGUGGAAUUCCCGGUGUAGCAGUGAAAUGCGUAGAGAUCGGGAGGAACAUCAGUUGCGAAGGCGGCUCUCUGGGCCGUAACUGACGCUGAGGAGCGAAAGCGUGGGGAGCGAACAGG
RNAcentral lists this ribosomal RNA (253 nucleotides) under uncultured bacterium. Its description in RNAcentral is "partial 16S ribosomal RNA". It matches the Rfam family "Bacterial small subunit ribosomal RNA", at positions 524 to 776 of the family's 1533-position model. The record is from RNAcentral.